AACAUGUCCUGUAGUGGGGGAUAGCCCGGCGAAAGCCGGAUUAAUACCGCAUACCAUCUACGGAUGAAAGCGGGGGACCUUCGGGCCUCGCGCUAUACGGUUGGCCGAUGGCUGAUUAGCUAGUUGGUGGGGUAAAGGCCUACCAAGGCGACGAUCAGUAGCUGGUCUGAGAGGACGACCAGCCUCACUGGGACUGACACACGGCCCAGACUCCGACGGGAGGCAGCAGUGGGGAAUUUUGGAC
Molecule: ribosomal RNA, 244 nt
Filed under: Burkholderia lata
Lineage: Bacteria; Pseudomonadati; Pseudomonadota; Betaproteobacteria; Burkholderiales; Burkholderiaceae
Description: partial 16S ribosomal RNA
Rfam family: Bacterial small subunit ribosomal RNA
Source: RNAcentral